GCCAGGGAUGGUGGUGCAUUCCUGCAGUCCCAGCUACUUGGGAGGCUGAGGCAGGAGGAUCAUCUGAACCCAAGGAGGCUGAGGCUGCAGUGAGCCAUGAUCGUGCCACUGCAUUCCAGCUUGGGUGACAGAGUGAGACCCUGUCUUUA
Molecule: non-coding RNA, 149 nt
Organism: Chlorocebus sabaeus (green monkey)
Lineage: Eukaryota; Metazoa; Chordata; Mammalia; Primates; Cercopithecidae
Rfam family: Metazoan signal recognition particle RNA
About the family: The signal recognition particle (SRP) is a universally conserved ribonucleoprotein. It is involved in the co-translational targeting of proteins to membranes. The eukaryotic SRP consists of a 300-nucleotide 7S RNA and six proteins: SRPs 72, 68, 54, 19, 14, and 9.
Source: Rfam